RNAcentral lists this antisense RNA (69 nucleotides) under Micromonospora pallida. Its description in RNAcentral is "ASpks TB sRNA". It matches the Rfam family "ASpks TB sRNA". Lineage: Bacteria; Bacillati; Actinomycetota; Actinomycetes; Micromonosporales; Micromonosporaceae. The record is from RNAcentral.
CUUGACCGAGCCGAGCAGCAGCGGCUCGUCGCGGUCCUGGCCGUAGGUGGCGAGCAGCGCCUGCGCCUC